UGGGAACGCGAAGAACCUUACCUAGACUUGACAUCUCCUGAAUUACCUUUAAUCGGGGAAGCCCUUCGGGGCAGGAAGACAGGUGGUGCAUGGUUGUCGUCAGCUCGUGUCGUGAGAUGUUGGGUUAAGUCCCGCAACGAGCGCAACCCUUAUUGUUAGUUGCUACCAUUUAGUUGAGCACUCUAGCGAGACUGCCCGGGUUAACCGGGAGGAAGGUGGGGAUGACGUCAAAUCAUCAUGCCCCUUAUGUCUAGGGCUACACACGUGCUACAAUGGUCGGUACAAUGAGAUGCAACCUCGCGAGAGUGAGCAAAACUAUAAAACCGAUCUCAGUUCGGAUUGUAGGCUGAAACUCGCCUACAUGAAGCUGGAGUUGCUAGUAAUCGCGAAUCAGAAUGUCGCGGUGAAUACGUUCCCGGGUC
This 422-nucleotide ribosomal RNA is filed under the name uncultured bacterium. RNAcentral's name for it is "bacterial SSU rRNA". It matches the Rfam family "Bacterial small subunit ribosomal RNA", at positions 954 to 1380 of the family's 1533-position model. The record is from RNAcentral.